Populus nigra (black poplar) is the source of this 564-nucleotide long non-coding RNA. RefSeq lists it as uncharacterized. The transcript has 2 exons. The record is from RefSeq and is a predicted model, not a curated record. Lineage: Eukaryota; Viridiplantae; Streptophyta; Magnoliopsida; Malpighiales; Salicaceae.
CCAGUAGAGCCUGAGAAAAUGUCCAAGUUCAAUGAAUCUAGUACGAGGGUCAUCCAGAACCAGAUCGCAACAUGGGCUAGGUUCGCCUAAAACGUAGUUUUAUCACGGUUGAAAAUAAACCAUACAGUCCUUGAAAGAUCCAGAGGCAGUUAUAUAUAUAUAUAUAUAUAUAGGAGGAGGAGGAGGAGGACACGGCAGGAGGCAUGUAUAUGUUAGCUAUGUCGACAAACUGAAAUAUUCAUCGGAAGUUGAUUAGAAAUGAGCAAUGAGUUUGUUUGGGGUCACCCUGAGUUCCUCCUAGCUUCUUCAGUACCCGUGGAAAGCUAAUGCUGCAAUUAUCUUGAGCUGGUAAGACUGGCAGGUGUCAGAUUUGGAUGUGUUAAAGGGUUUGGAGGAACUCUAGGUGCUGCCAAACUUGUUACCUAUCAUGCUGUGUGGUUGAUGCAGAUCUGAAUCGGAUAAUUUGGUGGGUUAUUAAGUUUCUUUAUUACUUUGCAACUUGCAAUUAAUUAGUUCUGGACUGGUUCAACGUUCCUAGGGUUAAUCUUAAUCUUUCUUUCUUUC